This 253-nucleotide ribosomal RNA is filed under the name uncultured bacterium. RNAcentral's name for it is "partial 16S ribosomal RNA". It matches the Rfam family "Bacterial small subunit ribosomal RNA", at positions 524 to 776 of the family's 1533-position model. The record is from RNAcentral.
UACAGAGGGUGCAAGCGUUAAUCGGAUUUACUGGGCGUAAAGGGUGCGUAGGUGGUUUUUUAAGUCGGAUGUGAAAGCCUGGGGCUCAACCUCAGAAUUGCAUUCGAUACUGGGAAACUAGAGUUCGGUAGAGGGCGGCGGAAUUUCCGGUGUAGCGGUGAAAUGCGUAGAUAUCGGAAGGAACAUCAAUGGCGAAGGCAGCCGCCUGGGCCUGGACUGACACUGAGGCACGAAAGCGUGGGUAGCAAACAGG